Drosophila grimshawi is the source of this 466-nucleotide long non-coding RNA. RefSeq lists it as uncharacterized. The record is from RefSeq and is a predicted model, not a curated record. The transcript has 3 exons. NCBI's taxonomy places the organism in Eukaryota, Metazoa, Arthropoda, Insecta, Diptera, Drosophilidae.
AAAUUGUGUAUUACUGGUAUAGUUUCGAAUCAUGCAAAUAUAUUAUAAAUCGUGAAUGACAACUGCAAUUUCUGAAGAAUUCCAAUAUCUGCGAGUGUUCACAUUUUCAAGUGAUCACUGUAUCAAAAACAACAAAUACUCGGUAAUUAUUAUAACUUGAAUGAAAGCGAAGUGCAACAGCCGCCGACAACAAGCUCGCCUGACGGAAAGAAUAACAACAAAAUGCCAAAGAAUUUGCGUCGGCAUUUGUUUUUAUGCUGACAUUCGAGAACACGAACUGAAAGGUGGCAGAACUCUGUGAGAGUGAGAGAGAGAGACAAGGGAGCGAUGCGCAGAAGCAACAGGGUGUCACAGCUAGUGCUAUUAUAUAAAAGUAAAUCACUGAAUGUAAAAUUCAAGCUAAUAUUGUUAAAUAUCAAUGUUAAGUAAAAAAAUGAACUAAAACCUGAGUGUGAUUCACACUUGA